UCCUUGGUACUCACACAGGCGUCCCUCCUCCUUCCUUUGCUUCGGUACCUCGUAGCCACAGUCCCGCCUGCGCCACCCACGCCACCCGCAGACGGUACCCACUACCAGGGUUCCUGAGGGGACCCGGGAGUGGCGCUUCGUGUGGCCAUCAUCGGCCGGGCCGGGGGCACCCAGCCGGGCACCCGUACAGCCCCGCGGCCGUGGGGAGAGGCUACAGUGCCAGAAAGAAAAGCAGCAGCCUUUCUUCGGACUGCACAGGAACUCAGUUCAGGCUCAGUCACCUCAUCCUGAGACCCAUGCAGUUUAUACUGGGUGCAUUUCGUGGUUAAAGAGAUGCAGAUCUAUGAAAUGGAAUAGAAGCUCUUCAUGGUUGAUUGACAAAUAUACAACCAAGUAGAACCUACAAAUAUGGACCAGAAACUGCAGAACUUCUGAAGCAAAGAGUUUUCUUUCUGCCUUGAAGAUAUUUUCUGCCUCUUUUUGAACAGAUGUUUGCAGGGAUUAUUUCAGGGAGGGUCCUAGAACAAUGCCUGUAAGACAUGGAAGUAAAACAAAGGCAAUAUGAAAAAUACUUAUAAGCCAACAGAGAAUUUCUCAGUGCUGAACAGGUUUUGUUCAUAUAAUCAUUACAGCUAAGUUGUGUAUCUUGUGCAAAGUUAAAUUUUCUUUUUCCCUUCAGUUCUUUCUCUGUUCCUUUUGUUCUUUCUUUAACUAUAAAAUAAAGUUGAAACGUGAGUACUAUAAUUUAUAUUUAGAACAAGGACUUCAUCCUGGACUGUAUCAUUGUCUGGGCUUGACUAAGAUCUUAUUUCUGCCUCAGAGUCAAAGAAUCUCUAAUGCAAAUAAAAAGGAAAAAUAAUACACAAA
Molecule: long non-coding RNA, 867 nt
Organism: Haemorhous mexicanus (house finch)
Lineage: Eukaryota; Metazoa; Chordata; Aves; Passeriformes; Fringillidae
Exons: 4
Source: RefSeq, a predicted model, not a curated record